CCCUUAGAUGUCCUGGGCCGCACGCGUGCUACACUGACGCAUACAGCGAGCACUUUCCAGUUCCGAGAGGCUACUGGUAAUCAUCAAUAUGCGUCGUGAUGGGGAUAGAUCUUUGGAAUUCUGGAUCUUGAACGAGGAAUGCCUAGUAAUCGCAGGUCAUUAGCCUGCGAUGAUUAAGUCCCUGCCCUUUGUACACACCGCCCGUCGCUACUACCGAUUUCGAGUGGUCAGGUGAAUCUUUCGGACUGUGGGCGCCCUUGAGGUGUUCGCGGAAAGUCAGGUAAAUCUUAUCGCUUAGAGGAAGUAAAAGUCGUAACA
This 318-nucleotide ribosomal RNA is filed under the name uncultured eukaryote. RNAcentral describes it as "partial 18S ribosomal RNA". It matches the Rfam family "Eukaryotic small subunit ribosomal RNA", at positions 1470 to 1796 of the family's 1831-position model. The record is from RNAcentral.